CCAUACCAUUUUAUACUUGUUUUUGUUGCUCACUAUCAUAAAUGUGUAGUUCAUAGAAACUUUUGAAGUGAAUUUAUUGUAUUAGAUAUCCAUUAUUGACAAAUGAUUCGUCAAGCGAAGGCGGCUUUUGUUGAGACAAAAUCAAGGGGCACAAGUGCAUUCCAUAGAAAGGAGUAUUGGCUAGCAGUGUAUUGGUAGACAGAGGGAAUAUUCACAUUUAUAUUAGAAAUGUGCAUUUGCCAUAUCAUGAUCUAGAAACGAAAUAGAGUACAAGCCUUCAUUUUUCUUUUGGCAAAGAAAGCAUUAAGAGGUUUUGGGGAGAUUCUUGUUCAAGUGAAGAAAUUUGUUGAAAGAAAAGAUAUGGGUGAUGUGCAGUCAAUACUACCACGGGAGAUUAUUUAGUCCUGUUGCACGCCGUCAAUGGUCAGAUGGUAGGAAGAUCAGAAGCCGAAAAUGUGUACAUGGGCAAAUGAUUUUCAAAGGAUCACGAUAACAUGAAUUGUUGUCGCAUUUGCUUAAAUGGUUUC
This is a long non-coding RNA of Papaver somniferum (opium poppy), 527 nucleotides long. RefSeq lists it as uncharacterized. The record is from RefSeq and is a predicted model, not a curated record. Lineage: Eukaryota; Viridiplantae; Streptophyta; Magnoliopsida; Ranunculales; Papaveraceae. The transcript has 3 exons.